This 912-nucleotide ribosomal RNA is filed under the name Niallia circulans. RNAcentral describes it as "bacterial SSU rRNA". It matches the Rfam family "Bacterial small subunit ribosomal RNA", at positions 1 to 888 of the family's 1533-position model. Lineage: Bacteria; Bacillati; Bacillota; Bacilli; Caryophanales; Bacillaceae. The record is from RNAcentral.
UUUUUUUUGAGAGAAUUUUUUGAUCCUGUCUCAGGACGAACGCUGGCGGCGUGCAUAAUACAUGCAAGUCGAGCGGACAGAAGGGAGCUUGCUCCCGGAUGUUAGCGGCGGACGGGUGAGUAACACGUGGGUAACCUGCCUGUAAGACUGGGAUAACUCCGGGAAACCGGAGCUAAUACCGGAUAGUUCCUUGAACCGCAUGGUUCAAGGAUGAAAGACGGUUUCGGCUGUCACUUACAGAUGGACCCGCGGCCCAUUAGCUAGUUGGUGGGGUAAUGGCUCACCAAGGCGACGAUGCGUAGCCGACCUGAGAGGGUGAUCGGCCACACUGGGACUGAGACACGGCCCAGACUCUUACGGGAGGCACCAGUAGGGAAUCUUCCCCAAUGGACGAAAGUCUGACGGAGCAACGCCGCGUGAGUGAUGAAGGUUUUCGGAUCGUAAAGCUCUGUUGUUAGGGAAGACCAAGUGCGAGAGUAACUGCUCGCACCUUGACGGUACCUAACCAGAAAGCCACGGCUAACUACGUGCCAGCAGCCGCGGUAAUACGUAGGUGGCAAGCGUUGUCCGGAAUUAUUGGGCGUAAAGGGCUCGCAGGCGGUUUCUUAAGUCUGAUGUGAAAGCCCCCGGCUCAACCGGGGAGGGUCAUUGGAAACUGGGAAACUUGAGUGCAGAAGAGGAGAGUGGAAUUCCACGUGUAGCGGUGAAAUGCGUAGAGAUGUGGAGGAACACCAGUGGCGAAGGCGACUCUCUGGUCUGUAACUGACGCUGAGGAGCGAAAGCGUGGGGAGCGAACAGGAUUAGAUACCCUGGUAGUCCACGCCGUAAACGAUGAGUGCUAAGUGUUAGGGGGUUUCCGCCCCUUAGUGCUGCAGCUAACGCAUUAAGCACUCCGCCUGGGAGGUUUUGGUA